RNAcentral lists this ribosomal RNA (253 nucleotides) under uncultured bacterium. Its description in RNAcentral is "partial 16S ribosomal RNA". It matches the Rfam family "Bacterial small subunit ribosomal RNA", at positions 524 to 776 of the family's 1533-position model. The record is from RNAcentral.
UACGUAGGGUGCGAGCGUUAAUCGGAAUUACUGGGCGUAAAGCGCACGUAGGCGGCUUUGCAAGACAGAUGUGAAAUCCCCGGGCUCAACCUGGGAACUGCAUUUGUGACUGCAAAGCUGGAGUGCGGCAGAGGGGGAUGGAAUUCCGCGUGUAGCAGUGAAAUGCGUAGAUAUGCGGAGGAACACCAAUGGCGAAGGCAAUCCCCUGGGCCUGUACUGACGCUCAUGCACGAAAGCGUGGGGAGCAAACAGG